CUCCCAAACCAUGUUUGUUAACCAGGGUUAUCAAGGCGUCGCCUAGGCGACGCCUAGUCGACGCCUAGGCGUCCGGUCGGUCAAGACCGUACGCCUAAUGUGCUCGCCUCGCCUA
Molecule: long non-coding RNA, 115 nt
Organism: Ipomoea nil (Japanese morning glory)
Lineage: Eukaryota; Viridiplantae; Streptophyta; Magnoliopsida; Solanales; Convolvulaceae
Exons: 3
Source: RefSeq, a predicted model, not a curated record